Molecule: long non-coding RNA, 1371 nt
Organism: Hydra vulgaris (swiftwater hydra)
Lineage: Eukaryota; Metazoa; Cnidaria; Hydrozoa; Anthoathecata; Hydridae
Source: RefSeq, a predicted model, not a curated record
UUUUCAAAUAAUAAAAAAUUAAUAAUUACUAAUUUAUUGUUUACUACUUUAACUUUGUAGCAAUAUUCCAAGUGUUAGUUUGUUGUUUGUAAUUAGAUUUUUUUUUAUAUUUUCAUUGUUAAUUUUCUGUUUAAGUUUUCAUUUUGCCAUUUAUAAUGGUAGAUUUGAAAAAAGUAAACAAGAAAUGACAAAGCAGAAUUUACACUAUUUCUUAUUAAAAACAAGAUGGAACUGAUAUUGAACUGUCAAAAGAUUAAAAACUCCAGCUAGUUGCUGUUGUUAUAUCAGGGAAGUUUGAAUUUUCUUAAUUGGAAUAUGAAAUUAAUGUAAAAAUGCUCACAGUAUAGCAAGUUUUGUAACCAGCAAAAUAACUGCCACAAGUUUUAUGGCUUUCAAAUAAGUUUUGCAAGUUUUGUGGCUUGAAAAUAAGUACAACAAGUUUUUUGACUAGCAAAUAAGUGACACAAGUUUUGUUGCUUGCAAAUAAGGUACAGCAAGUUUUGUGGCUUGCAAAGAGGUACCACAAGUUUUGUGGCUUGCAAAUAUAGUACAGCAAGUUUUGUGGCUUACAAAUAGGUAUUGGAAGUUUUGUGGCUUGCAAAUAGGUACUGCAAAUUUUGUGACUUGCAAAAUAAGUAUCGCAAGUUUUGUUGCUUGCAAGUUUUGUGGCUUGCAAAUUGAUAGUUGGCUCUGGCUUACCUUUACAUGGUGUCUUUUGUUAAAAGUUAUUCAUUUUGUUUCAUUAAUGUAAUUUAAAAAUUAAAUUAUUUACUAGAAGCCCAGACAAGAAAUAAUUACAUUUUUUAUUUCAAAAAACUUGUUUUUUUUUGUGUGUUUUUUUCUCAGGUUAUAGUGGUUAAUCUGUUUCUUUACAUAAUAAUGUAUACUCAAAUGCAUCUUGUAAUGUGAUUGUUGGCGACAUAGCUCAGCAAGAAUGAAGACAUUGAUACACUUUUGCAUUAUGGAAUACACAAGUUGGCAGUUCCUCACCCAUUGCCACCCAAAUACAGAUAGUAAAGUUAAACACUUAAUAAAGUACUUGCUGCAAUUACUUUCAAAAGACUAAAACUGGACAUAUUGUUUUAGAAAAAGCUGUAUAAAAAAUCCUUAUCUGUACGUAACAGACGAUGGAGACGAAGUGAUUAUUAUGUGUGGCAAAAGAUUAUUUUAUGAAGUUUUUCAUUUUCUGACUUUGUGAUGGAACUUAUUGGAGUACACUUUUCUUGAACAUAGGAGGAGUAUUGCCGCUACAAGCAUGAACAAUAAUAAAACAUUCCAAAGAUUAGUUUGUUAUUUCAACGAUUAUAUUUGUUGUUUAAAUGUAUAAAUGCUUUUUGUAUAUUCUUAUUAUAUAUCAUCCUAAUUUCAUAA